RNAcentral lists this transfer RNA (72 nucleotides) under Candidatus Yanofskybacteria bacterium RIFCSPHIGHO2_12_FULL_45_19b. Its description in RNAcentral is "tRNA-Ala". It matches the Rfam family "tRNA". From Rfam's summary of the family: Transfer RNA (tRNA) molecules are approximately 80 nucleotides in length. The record is from RNAcentral. Lineage: Bacteria; Candidatus Yanofskyibacteriota. RNAcentral also lists the same sequence under 1 other name.
GGGCCUGUAGCUCAGCGGCAGAGCAUUCGAAUGGCAUUCGAAGGGUCAGGGGUUCAAAUCCCCUCAGGUCCA